CGCAGUCCAUCGCCUGGAGGGUGAGAACCCCCGAUGGGUUCGAGUCGAGUGCAGCGAGACAACGUUGCCGCAGGCAACGGCCCGCAGGGUGAGGCGAAGCCGAAUAAUCCCUCCAGGCGCGCCA
This 124-nucleotide small RNA is filed under the name Marinobacterium rhizophilum. RNAcentral describes it as "RtT sRNA". It matches the Rfam family "RtT RNA". Rfam says of the family: This family represents a bacterial cis-regulatory element known as RtT RNA. The exact function of RtT is unknown although it is thought that it may be involved in changing the cellular response in relation to amino acid starvation. Lineage: Bacteria; Pseudomonadati; Pseudomonadota; Gammaproteobacteria; Oceanospirillales; Oceanospirillaceae. The record is from RNAcentral.